This 653-nucleotide long non-coding RNA is filed under the name Parus major (Great Tit). RNAcentral describes it as "lncRNA (ENSPMJG00000011265.1)". Lineage: Eukaryota; Metazoa; Chordata; Aves; Passeriformes; Paridae. The record is from RNAcentral.
CCAAGUGUCACCAGUGACCCCUCGUCUCCACAUCCCGGAGCGCUCUGUCUCCGGCUUUGUUCGUGCUGGCCUGGACAUAGCACUGCGCCUUUCCAUCUGUGACUGCUCCCGCUCACUCCUGCAGCCCUGCUGAGCACUUCCGCUUCUCUUGUGCAUCCUCUUGACAGAAAGGGCUUUCCCUGGGUGUGUUUUGCUACGUUUUGACAAAGGACAGAUAAAAUAUAAUACCACAAACAGGAAAUACUGGGCAUGUAAAAGUAAUGCAUCUUGGUAAUACCACCAUUAGCGUUUUCACUUGCAGCAUUGCAGAAGCAGAGGCUGAAAUACCUCAGCUGGCAUUGGCACUUCUGCCCUGGCUUUGCUGCAGCUUUACCAGACAGGUUCCCAUGGAUGAUGCUGAAUACUGGAGAAGAGGAGGGAGGAGCUCACUCUUUAUUAGAGAUUCUGCUACCCAGAUAAUAUGCUGCUGUAAACUGUGACCAUGGAAAACACUUCAGAUUUAAAGUGUUGCAAGAACAACUUUAUUUGGAGACCUACAUUCUCAUGAAAAUGUGUACUUCAUCCUGGCUUCAGAAAAAAAAGAAAAUUUUCUUCCAAAUGUCUGUAUUUGGGUUUUGAAUAAAAGUCAUUACUCUCCAUAGUGAGUAUUUUGU